GAUGCCCACUGGAUCCAAAGAGAGAAACUCUAUGGAAUUAUGAUCUAGGUUUGACUGACUCCUGGCAACAAGCUCUACCUACCAGCCAAUUUGGAUGAGCUCUUAUGCUCCAGAUCCAUCAUGAGAAGGACAUGCCUUGGAUUCCUGCUAUCCCUUUAGCCUUGGCUCCAAAAUUAACACACACGAGGAAGACCUGAGCUCAAUC
RNAcentral lists this long non-coding RNA (205 nucleotides) under Pongo abelii (Sumatran orangutan). RNAcentral's name for it is "lincRNA". Lineage: Eukaryota; Metazoa; Chordata; Mammalia; Primates; Hominidae. The record is from RNAcentral.